GAUGAAGAACGUAGCGAAAUGCGAUAAGUAAUGUGAAUUGCAGAAUUCAGUGAAUCAUCGAAUCUUUGAACGCACAUUGCGCCCUCUGGUAUUCCGGGGGGCAUGCCUGUUCGAGCGUCAUUACAACCCUCAAGCUCUGCUUGGUAUUAGGCUUCACCCUUAGGGGCGGGCUUUAAAAUCAGUGGCGGUGCCAUUUGGCUUCAAGCGUAGUAAUUCUUCUCGCUUUGGAGGACUAGUGAGCGCCUGCCAGCAACCCCAAUUUUUUUCAGGUUGACCUCGGAUCAGGUAGGGAUACCCGCUGAACUUAAGCAUAUCAAUAAGCGGAGGA
This 328-nucleotide unclassified non-coding RNA is filed under the name soil metagenome. RNAcentral describes it as "partial contains 5.8S ribosomal RNA, internal transcribed spacer 2, and large subunit ribosomal RNA". The stretch from base 1 to 120 matches the Rfam family "5.8S ribosomal RNA", at positions 35 to 154 of the family's 154-position model. The record is from RNAcentral.